AUAAAGCCCAGUUUCUGGACUCACACACCUGGCCUACCCCACAUUCUGCAGCAGCCUGACCCACUGGCUGUCCUGCUUUUCCACGGGACCGCAGCCCUUCUCCGCACACCACUCUGUCAGGAAGUGACGCCUCCAGACAGUGAUGAUUAACCACCCGAACGAGUGGCACAGAUAGUAAGUGCGGCAGGCUUUAAAAAUAGCCCUGAAAGCCCUUGAUGCAUGCAGAAAGGGCAGAAUGACACUCGGAGCGUCUCAAGGAGGACGACACAAGGAGCGCACAUGCUGAACCAGAUGACCUUUCCCCACGCUGCCAGCUCAAGCUGUAAGGACUGUAGGCAACGGGGAGGAACACUCAGCCACAGAGGGGCCUCCGCCUAAGUACAUCUGACAAGAGGCCAUUGGUAGUGAGGUCUGCCCAGAUGUGGCGGAGACGGGGUGGGGGUGUGGCUGUUUUAGAGGGAACGUUUGGAAUGGAGUGACCAAGGUUUGUGAAGGAAAUUCUGCUGAUAUGAGCAGAGAGAGAGAGAGAGAGAGAGAGAGAGAGAGAGAGAGAGAGAGAGCGAGCUAUUGCUGUAGGGGAAGAAAACGGGAGGAAAAUAGAACCAAACCAAGGCACAAAGGCAUGAAAACCUUACUCUGCCCUUACGAAGGGUUAAUAUGGCUGCUGGGAUCAUGUAUACCUUAAGGUCCUAAGCAGAUAGGAGGGCUGGGGGUGCCCUGGGAUCCAUGUGCUCAGAGCCAGGACCCCAGAGCUGAGAGUAUGGCCAACUGAGAUCAAUCAAGAGGACUCGAAACCAAGGAGGGGAUCGAAGGCAAUUCCUGGACUAGAAGAAGCCCGGUAGAGCGCAAAUGGAGAAAGGUAUCCUGGGAAACCAGUUCAUGCAGAGGGGGCACUGGGCAACCUGUGUGAUGAGAGCCAAUGUCCUAUCAUAGAUGUGAAGAUUUUGCUACAAAGCAGCAGUAGUACACCCAUUGAGAAUGAAUAAAGGGGACCCACGGGGAUUCCUGCACCAUGAUUACCACCUUCCACUACUGCCACCAACACUGCUGCAGGUUGAGUCCCCAAGGACUGUUGUUCUUCCUAUGAAAAAAGCUGCCAGCGCCAGCUAACUGCACUUGGCAGUUGCUUUUUGUUCCUAUGUAUUCCUUUCUCUGACUCUCAGCUUGCCCAUCUCUCCUUAUCCUAAGCACGCAAACUCUUGCAGAUGCAAGCAUCCUUCUUGUCUUUCCGGGAGUGCCUAGGAACCAUCCGCAUAGCUUCUGUUUACCAUGGCAGGGGCAUCCGUCCAACUCUUUGGGAGCAGAAACCUGACGCCUGGCAUUGCUUCUCAUUCCAGCUUCUCUGUAGCCUAGCAAUUUCACAGGUGAGAAAUUUUCUCUGAGCCUAUGUAAACCGACACCUGAUUAGACUGGAGAACUUAGACGAUGAGCACCAACACAAAGAUUUUUGUACUUUUUUUUAUUGUAAAUAGCCCAAAUAUUUGGUCCCAUUUCCGUUUAAAUGGGCAAACCAUAAUAUUGAUGGCUCGCAACAGAUGCAAGAUGAAUUGAGCUUCUCCACCAGCUAGCUGAACCACUUUUAAUGGGGAAUAUAUCGAAGCUAUAAAUUCCUGCAGGCAGGAUUGCUAUGCAAUAGCAUAAUAUAUCGUCUAUUCAAUCUUUUAUACAUUAUGUUUUGUCCUGCAUCCCCGUGGAUAUAUUUAUGGAUCCGGAGCUUUUUGGUGAAGACGCGCCACGCACCUCUUCUUCUCCUGCUCUGCAUUUUCACAGGCCCUGCAGAUCAACCUCAUUUAUUCUUGUUCUUUAUCAGAGACCUGGAGUUUGUUCUUUGUCCUCAGGGCUGAGCUUCCUCUGUGAGAAUCAGGCUCUGCGGCUCCAGACCUCUCUGGGAUGCUUUUGUCCACUAGGAGGCAGAGAUGCCAGGCGAAAUGAAUGGGCACUUACAGCUGGGGGCAAAUGCUACCCUGGUGCUCUCUCCUUACAUAAGGGCUGGUGAUCUCCAGCCCUAUCUUCCUAUCACAAGCGUGAUAACCUGCCAAGCCACAGUUCCUCUCCUACAAGGCUUUUCCCACUGAUCAGAAUGAGACUUGCAGUUAAUUUUCCCUUUCUGCCAUCAAAGUAUUGAAGGGAGCCAGUUUGUUUCGGUUCACCAUUUCAGAGAGAUUUCAAUUCGCCAGAGAGAGAGAGAGGCUACGGCAGAGCCAUGGUGGCCAGAUGUGUGGCAGAGACACCUCGCACCAUGACGAAUGGAGAAGCCAGAACCGGGGGUGAGUAGAACCUCAGAACCCUUCCUUUAAUGCCGUCCUUUCACCUGCCAGGCCCCACUCUUCAGCACUCCACAGGGUUUAUACCAGUGUCACCAGGACCGAGCCCUCAAAGCGCGAGCCAUGGGGAACAUACCAAGUUCAAACCACAUUGAGGACCUAAUAAAUCUAAGUCCCCAUGCCAUGCAUGGAUGGAAACAAUACAAGACAGCAACAAUCAGAGAACAACCAACUCAUGGGAGCAGCUCUGAGAUAACCGACCCGAGUCGGCCUCUCAGCUCGCCAGUUCUCAGUCGCUCAACAUGGACUUUGCUCAAAACCCCAGUUUCUUCAUCUACAAAAACAAGGGUAAUAGUAUUUGCAGUGGUGUUCUGGUCAAUAGUGAAUGGUCCUAUUGUGUUCAUUACCUUUGUUUCUAAUGCAUUUUCUCUAAUGGCAAGUUCAUAUACUUUUAUUUUCAGCAAUGACCCUUUUUUUUACAAAUAUCCUACUCAUCGGAUUUCUUAAACUAAACAACCAGCUUUUGCAAGCUGGUAGGGGGCAAUUCGCACACAUCCCCAAGUCCCAGAAAUCAUGCUUACGAAGGUUGAAUCACUGGAGGCUUAUCAUGUGUUACUGAUGCCCAGUCCAGAGGAAUCCUUUGCUUAGUUAUGGCUGUAAACACUUGCAAUAACAAGACGAUUAAGAAGUGCAGCAUGUUUUAACUUGUGGAUAAAGACUUUAAGACAAGUACAAAAAUAGAGCUUUUUUUCUGCAACCUAAAACUUGUUUACUUUGCCUUUUAAUAUGCAUGAGAAGGGGUGUGAUAUCCCCAAAAAGAGUGAGGAAAAUGGAGAAGGGAGACAAGAAGGGUGUUGGUGCUAAGAGGUGUUUUAAGCCUCCACAGGAAGGAAAAUCAGUGGCCGUCCUCCCAUCCCUUUGGGGUCAGAGCAUCAUAACAAACUGGAACUUCUAUCCUGUCUUCAGUAUGGUUUGAAUUUGGGACAUUCCCCAUAGUCAUUUGUCGCUCUUUCCAAAUGUAGGCCUAUGUGUUGCAUUCCAACACUAAAUAGGAGUGAUCUUUUCAUCACUCACCACAACCGGUCCACUGUUUCCAUCCUUCCAUUUACAACGGCAGAAGCAGACUAUGAACACAUCUGCACACACAGCUGUGCCUUUAGUUAGGUCAUUAAAGGAUUGACGGCAAGGAAGAAUAACGGAGCUCUCUCCUUGGGUAAAGUAUGCUGCUGCUAACAACAACCUUGCUGGCUGUUGGAAAGGAGUAAACUCACAAGAAAAGCAGUGAUGAGCAGUCUUCUGUGAGAGUGUGGAACUGGAACCAAAUCCAGCAGCCAAGGGAAGGGCACAAGUCCCUACAUCUGCAUAUAUGGUAUCCAAGACCACACCCAAAAACACAAGAGCCAUCAUACCAGGGGACACAGAGUACCAGAGUUCCUUGAAAACCCUGACGUCAGAAAGAGGGAUUCUGCCUGCGCACUAACCCAAGCCCCAUCCAUCACCAGGCUCCCUCGGGCACGGUCUGUUCCUGUGAUAGAUAGCACUUAUUCCAUUGUGGGGGGCUUAUCUGCAUAAGUGUCUUCUGCACCCAGUGAGCUGAAUGAGAGCAGGGAGCUCUUUGGCCUCUCUAACUGCUGGGUCACAGUACCUAGCACAAUAACGCGGCAGGCCUCUGGCAAAUGUCUACUGAAGAAAAGGAACCAACUCAGCCUGGCAUUAAAGCCUCCAGUGAAGUGGCCUGAUGGGAGAUGGAUGAUUAAUAAUGGUACUAAUCAUCCAUCUCCCUCACCCACAGUCUCGCAGCCCUGCUGGGCUCCUUGGGAGGUUGCCAGUAGAAAUGCUGCUUUAAAACAGAGAAGCAGAGCGCAGAGUUGAAGAGGAUGAGACAGGACAAAUGGGGCAGAGUUGCCACUUUCUUUUGCAUCUAGGCUGGUAUUUACAUUUCAAAUGCAUGGUCCUUUCCACUGGGCACUCAUUCCCAAAGCCCUUGGUCAUGGAAAGAACUGCAGCACAAGAGGUCUUAUCUGCUGGGUACCCAGUUCUAUCAGCCUAAUUCCUCUGGGGCCCCUCCUUCCCUGUCUAAUAAAUCAGCUCAUAAGAACAUCAAAAUGAAUAUGAAAUUGUUCACAAGAAAUAAAGUCAAGAGACCACCUUCAGCUUACAAGUAGACUGUGUUCUCCACAUUUAUGUUUCCGAAGGCUGUAUGGAAUAGAGUGUUACAUUUUUCCAUAGAAACCAUAUUUAAAAUGAUGGUUAGAUUCUCUGGCUCCCACUCAAAAGCCUAUUCAAACCAUAAUGUAACUGAAAUAACAUAUAUUUGCAAAGAAAAUCAGCAGGGAAAAUACUGUUACAAUACUAGUAAUUAAAACAAAAAAUAAUACGGAAUAGGAAGCAGUAUUUCUGACUCAUCUCAAAUUCACUUGAAGAAAAAUAGAUUUAAUUAGGAAAAAAGGAGGCAGCAGAAAGGUUUUGUGGGCAUCAGCAGGCAUCUUCCAGUCACCUGGAUGGGAGCAUUCCUCACCCCUCCCAAGGUAAGCUUGUCCCAUUCUUUAAUACUCCAUUCUAAGUGUGUAACUCCGCUGUGAUGUGGUCCAAGCAAAACAAAGAAAGACCGAGGAGACUUCAUCUGUUGAAUUUGAAAGGUUAAAAAAAAAGUGUAAGAAAGAGACUAGUCACCUUGGGGGGAACAGCUAAGGGGUGUUUUUAAGGCUCCUUAAACCCUACCCUACGCUGUUUCUUGUUUCUUCAUUCCUAUCACUACAACCAGCUAGAAGAUGUCUAUCUAUUCUAUCUAUGGGAACACUGAGGCUGGGUAGGAAAUGACCUUGUCAAGAGGUUCAGUGAUGUGUGCAGGGACCCAUGUUAGGACUGUGAAACUGUAAAGCCCUUCCCUUCUCCUUGACUACAAAUGAAGAGAAUUGAAGAAAACAGGAGCCACUAUUUCUAUGGAGAGGGGCCAGUAGGAGCCCGGGGACAUUGGCUCCCAAGGACACCUGGUGCUCAACCAGAGCAAACAGUUGAAAAAGCUGCCGCCUUGAGCUGGUGAAAAAUAACCAAUAAAACCCUUGAGCUACCGGACGUCAAUGCUCAGGGCUGUGGGAAGAACCAGUCCAGAUAUGAGGAAGUCUUCAUCGACCAAUUAGACUGCUCUAAAACCAUCCUGAUCCUAGCGUCCAACACAAAUUUAUUAUUCCUUACUCUCUGAAGACUGGAAAGUCUAAAGUCCCAUUGCUUGCAGGGAGUUGUGACUGUUAAGAGAUUUCUCUUCAGCUUUAUGAAUGAUAUCUUCUCCUGUGUCCUGGCAUGGGAGAUAGAUCAACAAGGCUUGCCCAUACUCUCUUUUAAUUACAUCAUUCCCAUUCAUGAAGUUUUCACAUCCAUGCCAUUCACCUACCUAAGGUCCACCGUAUUAUACCAUCCAUACUAUUUGACAUUGAGCUUCAACACAUAUAUACAUAAACAUUCAGGCAUGGAAGGAUUACUUAUGUAGCUGUGGUUCCUAUCUUUUAGGAACUAUAGCCUAGAAUGCACAAUCCACAGUGUGAUUAAAUCCAUAAUGAGACAAGAAAGACACCAAUCCAAACACGACAGGAGAGAAGCUAAUAAAUAAAGCAAAAUUAAUCACAGAAGACAGAUGCUGAGUGGGAAAUGCAUCUUGGGAGGAACUCUUUCUCCUUGGGUAAACAAACCCAGAGAGUGCAGAGGAAAAAGAAACUUUGCAAAUUACCAUUUCCUCUCCUGUUGAUCAACCCAGGGGUUCUUGCUCAUAAAAUUAAAAGAAAUAAAAUUAAACUGGAGCUAGCUCCCUUAGGCUUCAGGGAAGCCCUUGGGUUCCCGGAGAGUGCUUGCACUGUUGGGAAAGGGUUAUCCACCCUCCUUGCAUUGUGUGACUUCACUUCCAUGGCUGCCAUUUAAUGAUGGAGCUACAUGCUCCGAGAGGGUAGCAGCAGUUCGCAGAGGGCAAAGGGCCAAUUUCCUGAGGACCGUGCACUUUGACUCUGAGCAUGACCCCAUGAUGAGGGCAACUCUUUCAUCCUCCAGGGCCACAUCGCUCCUAGUCAGCUCAUCCAGCAUGAACGUUGCCAUCUGCUCUGCGUCAAUAGCACAGGAUUGCUACUGGAUAUGCAGAUGGCCCCGUGUGGUGCCUCCCCUAGAGGAGUCUGUGACCCAAUUGCAGCGCAAAGGCCAACAUUGGAAGCAGGCAGAGAACAAUUUUCCAACAAAUUCUAUGAGCUUUCCACCGAGUUCUACAACUUGUAUCAUUUCCCCCCAUAU
Non-coding RNA from Myodes glareolus (Bank vole), 6536 nucleotides. Lineage: Eukaryota; Metazoa; Chordata; Mammalia; Rodentia; Cricetidae. The record is from RefSeq and is a predicted model, not a curated record.